ACGGAAUUAAAGAAGCACACAAAACAGAAAGUGGCUGUUUGCUCAGAUGUUUGUGUGUCAGACUAUAUAUUGAACAUGAGCACCAUGAACAACCCUGGUAAAGUCUGGAAUACUAGGAAAUUGUUGGCUGAUGGAAUUCUCUAUCAAAGACGAAGGAUGCUAAAUAUUCCAGGUAGAUUUCUGUUUCCAAACAAAUGCAUUUACAUUCACUACAGGUGUAUUAUUUGGGUUGGUAACACUCAUAAAUUUGUCCGAAUUUUUGGGAUAUAUAUAAAUAUACAUCAGUUACCUUCUUCAGCUAAUAUAUGUGAGUGAGUGAGUGAGUAUGUGACUAUUUAUCAUCUAUUGCUAUCAUGGAUAUAAAAUACUUUGAUAGAUUAUUAUUAUUUUUAAAUUGAAACAUUCAAUUUAGUGAGAUUUAGUAGUUUGUAUCAAUAAACUAAUUGGUGAAGCCAAUGUAUUUAUCUUGUUUUAUUACAGAGAUUUGCAAAUUCCCGAUUAUGAAUUGAAAAAUCUUUGCCUAAUUGAGUUGGAGAAGCUUUUGAUGCAUGCGUAACGGAAAAUGUCUGGAUGAUUUUAAAGCAUUGCCCAAACCAAGAUUGGAAUCAGUUUUUGCCCAACCAAAUAAGUUUGUAGCUGAUGAGUUGAACUAUAAUACAAAUCAGCAAGCUCACAAUGCAC
RNAcentral lists this long non-coding RNA (681 nucleotides) under Medicago truncatula (barrel medic). RNAcentral describes it as "long non-coding RNA (MTRU_LNC006625)". Lineage: Eukaryota; Viridiplantae; Streptophyta; Magnoliopsida; Fabales; Fabaceae. The record is from RNAcentral.